This 217-nucleotide unclassified non-coding RNA is filed under the name Hevea brasiliensis (rubber tree). Lineage: Eukaryota; Viridiplantae; Streptophyta; Magnoliopsida; Malpighiales; Euphorbiaceae. The record is from RNAcentral.
GUUUGAAUGUGAUUUGCAGUCAUUUAACUGGAUUUACUACUAUUUUUUGUUGUUUGUUUCUAUUUGAAGAAUCGGGAAUCAUGAUUAGUUCUGUUUUAAUCUCUUGAAUAUAUUAAUGAUAUUUUAAAGAUGCUUUAUUUGACCUGGAAAGUUAAAUAUGUGUCAUGUGAAGAUUUGAAAUUUUGAUGCAAUAUCCAAGAGAUUUAUAGAAGAAGAA